UACGAAGGGGGCUAGCGUUGCUCGGAAUCACUGGGCGUAAAGCGCACGUAGGCGGAUUGUUAAGUCAGGGGUGAAAUCCUGGAGCUCAACUCCAGAACUGCCUUUGAUACUGGCGAUCUCGAGUCCGGGAGAGGUGAGUGGAACUGCGAGUGUAGAGGUGAAAUUCGUAGAUAUUCGCAAGAACACCAGUGGCGAAGGCGGCUCACUGGCCCGGUACUGACGCUGAGGCGCGAAAGCCAGGGGAGCGAACGGG
This 253-nucleotide ribosomal RNA is filed under the name uncultured bacterium. Its description in RNAcentral is "partial 16S ribosomal RNA". It matches the Rfam family "Bacterial small subunit ribosomal RNA", at positions 524 to 776 of the family's 1533-position model. The record is from RNAcentral.